This 427-nucleotide ribosomal RNA is filed under the name uncultured bacterium. Its description in RNAcentral is "bacterial SSU rRNA". It matches the Rfam family "Bacterial small subunit ribosomal RNA", at positions 355 to 774 of the family's 1533-position model. The record is from RNAcentral.
UGGGGAAUUUUGGACAAUGGACGCAAGUCUGAUCCAGCCAUGCCGCGUGCGGGAAGAAGGCCUUCGGGUUGUAAACCGCUUUUGUCAGGGAAGAAACGAGUUUCUCUAAUACAGAGACUUAAUGACGGUACCUGAAGAAUAAGCACCGGCUAACUACGUGCCAGCAGCCGCGGUAAUACGUAGGGCGCGAGCGUUAAUCGGAAUUACUGGGCGUAAAGCGUGCGCAGGCGGUUAUAUAAGACAGAUGUGAAAUCCCCGGGCUCAACCUGGGACCUGCAUUUGUGACUGUAUAGCUAGAGUACGGUAGAGGGGGAUGGAAUUCCGCGUGUAGCAGUGAAAUGCGUAGAUAUGCGGAGGAACACCGAUGGCGAAGGCAAUCCCCUGGGCCUGUACUGACGCUCAUGCACGAAAGCGUGGGGAGCAAACA